CCUACGGGAGGCAGCAGUGGGGGAUAUUGCACAAUGGGGGGAACCCUGAUGCAGCGACGCCGCGUGGGUGAAGAAGCGCCUCGGCGCGUAAAGCCCUGUCAGCAGGGAAGAAAAUGAUGGUACCUGAAGAAGAAGCCACGGCUAACUACGGGCCAGCAGCCGCCGUAAUACGUAGGGGGUAAGCGUUAUGCGGAUUUACUGGUGGUAAAGGGGGCGGAGACGGGUAUGCAAGCCAGGAGUGAAAGCCCGGGGCCCAACCCGGGGACUGCUCUUUGUACUGGGUAGUUGGAGUGCAGGAGAGGGAGGCGGAAUUCCUGGUGUAGCGGUGAAAUGCGUAGAGAUCAGGAGGAACACCGGUGGCGAAGGCGGCCUGCUGGACUGAAACUGACGUUCAGGCGCGAAAGCGUGGGGAGCAAACAGGAUUAGAUACCCGUGUAGUC
RNAcentral lists this ribosomal RNA (440 nucleotides) under uncultured bacterium. Its description in RNAcentral is "partial 16S ribosomal RNA". It matches the Rfam family "Bacterial small subunit ribosomal RNA", at positions 338 to 795 of the family's 1533-position model. The record is from RNAcentral.